AACUAACAGAAAAUUUGACAAAAGUUGGGUUUAAAUAUACCACACAAUUUGCAAAUUUUAAUGUCGCAAUGCAAUAUAGGAUACAAGUUAACGGUGACCAGAUAUUUAAAGACCAUGUGAGCGAAGUAUUUGAAAACUACGACAAUGAAGAU
This is a long non-coding RNA of Aphis gossypii (cotton aphid), 152 nucleotides long. RefSeq lists it as uncharacterized. The record is from RefSeq and is a predicted model, not a curated record. The transcript has 3 exons. NCBI's taxonomy places the organism in Eukaryota, Metazoa, Arthropoda, Insecta, Hemiptera, Aphididae.